RNAcentral lists this ribosomal RNA (468 nucleotides) under uncultured bacterium. Its description in RNAcentral is "partial 16S ribosomal RNA". It matches the Rfam family "Bacterial small subunit ribosomal RNA", at positions 28 to 507 of the family's 1533-position model. The record is from RNAcentral.
GACGAACGCUGGCGGCGUGCUUAACACAUGCAAGUCGAACGGAAAGGCCCUGCUUUUGUGGGGUGCUCGAGUGGCGAACGGGUGAGUAACACGUGAGUAACCUGCCCUUGACUUUGGGAUAACUUCAGGAAACUGGGGCUAAUACCGGAUAGGAGCUCUUGCUGCAUGGUGGGGGUUGGAAAGUUUCGGCGGUUGGGGAUGGACUCGCGGCUUAUCGGCUUGUUGGUGGGGUAGUGGCUUACCAAGGCUUUGACGGGUAGCCGGCCUGAGAGGGUGACCGGCCACAUUAGGACUGAGGUACGGCCCAGACUCCAACGGGAGGCAGCGGUGGGGAAUAUUGCACAAUGGGCGGAAGCCUGAUGCAGCAACGCCGCGUGCGGGAUGACGGCCUUCGGGUUGUAAACCGCUUUCGCCUGUGACGAAGCGUGAGUGACGGUAAUGGGUAAAGAAGCACCGGCUAACUACGUG